This 253-nucleotide ribosomal RNA is filed under the name uncultured bacterium. Its description in RNAcentral is "partial 16S ribosomal RNA". It matches the Rfam family "Bacterial small subunit ribosomal RNA", at positions 524 to 776 of the family's 1533-position model. The record is from RNAcentral.
UACGUAGGGGGCAAGCGUUGUCCGGAAUCAUUGGGCGUAAAGCGCGCGUAGGCGGCCCGGUAAGUCCGCUGUGAAAGUCCAGGGCUCAACCCUGGAAAGCCGGUGGAUACUGCCGGGCUAGAGUCCGGAAGAGGCGAGUGGAAUUCCUGGUGUAGCGGUGGAAUGCGCAGAUAUCAGGAGGAACACCAAUAGCGAAGGCAGCUCGCUGGGACGGUACUGACGCUGAGGCGCGAAAGCGUGGGGAGCGAACAGG